UACGAGAGGCGCAAACGUUUAUUCGGAGUUACUGGGCUUAAAGAGUUCGUAGGCGGCGCAGAAAGUAGGGUGUGAAAGCCCUCGGCUUAACCGAGGAAUUGCGCUCUAAACUACUGUGCUUGAGGAACCUAGAGGUGAGCAGAACUGAUGGUGGAGCGGUGAAAUGCGUUGAUAUCAUCAGGAAUACCGGAGGCGAAGGCGGCUCACUGGGGGGUUUUCUGACGCUGAGGAACGAAAGCCAGGGGGAGCGAACGGG
RNAcentral lists this ribosomal RNA (256 nucleotides) under uncultured bacterium. RNAcentral's name for it is "partial 16S ribosomal RNA". It matches the Rfam family "Bacterial small subunit ribosomal RNA", at positions 524 to 776 of the family's 1533-position model. The record is from RNAcentral.